UCUGACUGCAGUAAGGCAUUGCUGACUAGAAUGGUUUUAAACGGAGAAGAAAGACACAUGAUCACUUUCCCUGCCAGCCUGGUCCUGUAUCUGGAACUUCUACAUAGAGUUUUCAUCUCUUUAGGAUGAUAACUGAGAAUUUGGCAUAUUGCUCAGGCCAAGGUAACGAUGCAGCUGGCAUAAAUGUGGAGCAACUUCACCUCUUCCAGUCAAUAUUUUUGUUUCCGGACUGGGUAAUGCAAGCAUUGAAUCAAGCUGCAUUACAGAAAACUGACUUGCUGGGUUAUGGGAGCACCCAGGAGUAGCAGGGCAGAGACUGCAGAGAUUAAAAUGUGGUGGUGACUCUCAUAUUGAGCUUUCAAAGAGCCAUGAACAUGCAGCUCUUCAGGAGAGCAUUUGGGGAUGAGUGAAGACCACACUACCUCCAAGAUGUAGGUGCAUUAAGAGGGAUGUUAUCAGCUGCUGUGCAUUUGUUUCUAAUUGUUCACAUUUUUUAAAAUUCUACUCUCUAUUCGUUGUGUGCUGGCCAAAGCCUCUAUGACUGGAGCACUCUGUAAACCAGAGUGAAUAAAUAUAUUCACCUUAAA
Molecule: long non-coding RNA, 587 nt
Organism: Candoia aspera
Lineage: Eukaryota; Metazoa; Chordata; Lepidosauria; Squamata; Candoiidae
Exons: 2
Source: RefSeq, a predicted model, not a curated record